CGAUCAAAGCGAUAUCCACGUGAGGGAGUAGAUUCACGUGUACGAACCAAUCGUGUUUAUUUUCGUACCCUACCUUGCCGCUGCUCCUCCAGGCCACCCACCCCUUUCAAGGUGCAGUCCAAGUGUUCUAAGUCUAUUGCGUAUUGACCGGUGACACAUUAACACACAUGCACAUCCAUAGAAAUAGGUUUUACAUGCUUGUAAAUAUUCUCUCGAGAACCAGAUGCCAGAUGCUCUGGCACAUCUGGGCGCAAGAGCAGAGUAAGAAAAUGGCUGACGAAUAUCAUGUAAAAAAGGACCCAUAAAAGACUAGAACUGAGCAAAAUCUGACUCCGGAUACACACUGGAUUGCUCAAAGGAGGAGAAGGCGGAGAAGACCUUAAUGGAACCCUCGAAUUGUGCUGGAGGCUUUCUGGAAGGCCGGCAGUGAGUCACAAACGGAGGAAAGGAGAUAUAUGUAGGGGUUAUCACAAAUAUGUAUAUAGUUUCACUGAAUUAUUAUUAUAAUAU
Molecule: long non-coding RNA, 510 nt
Organism: Drosophila persimilis
Lineage: Eukaryota; Metazoa; Arthropoda; Insecta; Diptera; Drosophilidae
Exons: 3
Source: RefSeq, a predicted model, not a curated record